Molecule: long non-coding RNA, 550 nt
Filed under: Lepidothrix coronata (blue-crowned manakin)
Lineage: Eukaryota; Metazoa; Chordata; Aves; Passeriformes; Pipridae
Description: lncRNA (ENSLCOG00000011236.1)
Source: RNAcentral
CAUGGAGUUGAUGGUUAAAAGGGAUAGACUGCUCUAAGACUUGCAGUUGAAUGAGGAACUUUGUGCAUCAAAGAAAAUUAUAGGAAAGCCAUUUUGUGGGCUGGGGGCGGAGGGUGGAAAGACUUGAUGUGCAUUGUCAACUAAAUUAAUGAACUGUCAUCUAUCCAGUGAGUUUACUGAAGAGCCUACAGAAAUGUGAACAAAUGGGAUAUCACCAGAGCCACAGAUGCUCAGUGCUACCUGAUGGCAGCACCAGAAUCACCAGUACGGCUUUCCCAAAUCCUCUCUGAAUAUCAUCCAAGAGAUGGGAAUGUUCACAUUUUAAGGAGGUGCUGUUUUGUUUUCCUGGGUUUUUCCACACAAACUGAGGAAACAUUGUGUCUGGAAAAUUACAAGGUCAGCUUGUGCCAGAAGCUAUUGCUGGAGAAACAGCCCAGUGACGCCAUUAAACAGGCCACAGUUAAUUAGUAGCAAACCCUGAAGAUGUUUCUUACAUUAUGACACAGAGAGAUAGUGGAGAAAGCAAGAAAAAGAAAAAUCUGGAUAGGGG